This 62-nucleotide transfer RNA is filed under the name Myotis lucifugus (little brown bat). It matches the Rfam family "tRNA". Rfam says of the family: Transfer RNA (tRNA) molecules are approximately 80 nucleotides in length. Their secondary structure includes four short double-helical elements and three loops (D, anti-codon, and T loops). The record is from Rfam by way of RNAcentral. Lineage: Eukaryota; Metazoa; Chordata; Mammalia; Chiroptera; Vespertilionidae.
GCGGCUCAGUGGGUAGAGCAUCAGCCUACGGACUGAAGGGUCCCGGGUUCGAUUCCCGGGCA